AUCCCAAUGACACCGACAGCAUCCAUCCAUCCGCAGCUUUCCCUCCUGCCGCGGGGAUGGAUGAGGAGAUCCCGCUCCCACUGAACCGAUCCCGCUCACACCCACCCAUGGAUGGAUGUGGACUGGGCCAGGACGGUGCCGGCGCCGGAUCUGCACCCACCUGCGUCUCGGUGGGGCAGCACAAUGGAGCGCACGGCUGUGACGCUGCCCUCAUCGGGAUUCCACCACCACGCGCCUGCGCCAUGGAAGACGAGGAGGAGUGCCUACCUCCGUCGUACGGGACGCCGCCAUGGAAGGAGAUGGAGCUCCUCCCUUCUCCUCAACCACGCACACAUCAGGAGAUCGGCAAGGAUCGAGGGAGAGGAGGAGCUGCUCCGACCCACCCUACUGACGACCGACGCCGUGGAGGCUAUCACCAUGGUAAGCCGAGGUGCUGCGGGUGUUGAGGAAGACUAUGGUUCGGGUGAGACAGUGAAGAGAAGAUAGCGUGCAGAGGGGGAGGAUGUUGGUUCCAGCUGCUUAGAUUACUCAAGGCAGGAUUUGAUUCUGUACAAGGGGUUCAUCGUGCCAGGCUCCUCUUUUCUGAUGCUUCCAUGCAACGGUGGUGGCGAUGGUGGUGUUUGGCAUCGGCUACAAAAACACCCUGCCAUGUCAUGUCAAUCAAGUUAAUUAGAUGUUGCUCUUUUCAUGUUCUACUUCAUACAUACAUGCAUAUGUGAUGGCUCCCUGCCUCCCUGCCUGCUACAUCUCCGCUUGCAUAAAUCAAAGAGAAGAAAGAAACACCCAUCUUAAAAUAAUUAUAAUGAGCAGCACAUGCCUUUCAUUUUAUAGGAUGGUCAUUGUAUCAUGAUAACCGGAUCAUAUCUAUGCCACAUACAAAUCAUUGAGCAGUGUUCUUGAUGGCCUGUUACCUUGAAUAAUAAUGUUGCCAGGAGCAUUUUGUUGCACGUUUGUGACUUCUUGCUUGAAUCCCAAAGUCUCAGAUCAAUGUGGGGUUCAAUGUCUUCUUUCCAUUCUUAUUGUUUGUCUUAGAUCGUUCCCAGUUCACUGAA
Molecule: long non-coding RNA, 1052 nt
Organism: Triticum dicoccoides
Lineage: Eukaryota; Viridiplantae; Streptophyta; Magnoliopsida; Poales; Poaceae
Exons: 4
Source: RefSeq, a predicted model, not a curated record